GGCGAACGGGUGAGUAACACGUGGGUAAUCUGCCCUGCACUCUGGGAUAAGCCUGGGAAACUGGGUCUAAUACUGGAUAUGACCUUUCUCCUUAUGGGGUUUGGUGGAAAGUUUUUCGGUGUAGGAUGAGCCCGCGGCCUAUCAGCUUGUUGGUGGGGUGAUGGCCUACCAAGGCGACGACGGGUAGCCGGCCUGAGAGAGUGAUCGGCCACAUUGGGACUGAGAUACGGCCCAG
This 235-nucleotide ribosomal RNA is filed under the name uncultured Actinomycetales bacterium. Its description in RNAcentral is "partial 16S ribosomal RNA". It matches the Rfam family "Bacterial small subunit ribosomal RNA", at positions 97 to 334 of the family's 1533-position model. The record is from RNAcentral. Lineage: Bacteria; Bacillati; Actinomycetota; Actinomycetes; Actinomycetales.